Sphaerodactylus townsendi is the source of this 138-nucleotide small nucleolar RNA. RefSeq annotates it as small nucleolar RNA SNORA15. NCBI's taxonomy places the organism in Eukaryota, Metazoa, Chordata, Lepidosauria, Squamata, Sphaerodactylidae. The record is from RefSeq and is a predicted model, not a curated record. The transcript has a single exon.
GCAUGGACGAAUUCUGCAUUGGCUCUUAUAAUAGCCAGUGGAGUCAGACACCAUGCAAGAGCAGUGCCUCUGUCCUGAACAUUGCUGGUGGCAUGCUGUGUCUCUGGCGGCAUGCCUGCAUCAGAAACAGAUACACAA